GCGUGUGCUCUGGAAUUCAAUCCGCAAUUCAUUAAAACAAAGUAGGGGGAGGAAGGCGAGGGAGGAGAAUUUGGGAAAUAGCUUUCAGGAACCAUAAAUAAAUAAAUAAUGAAGGGGGAGAUGGAAAUGUUGACUUGCCAAGGUGACAGGGCUUCGUUUACUUGGUGCUUCUAGGGCUGCUAUCGCCCAAAAUGAAAGUUGCUCCUGUGAAAUGUAACAGCCCUUCAAAUCCCAAGCAUCACAUCCAGAAAGAAUGGAUGAAAAUGGAGACUGCAGAGAAAGGAGCUUUUCUGUUCAGUCUGUUCUCCACUGCUUUGAACACUGAUCCCAGGGUAAAGUGGAAGCAAAACCUCUGAGAAAGAGCUGACGGCCAUGGCCAAUAAGAAACAGGGCAUCAAGGACUGCAGAGCAGGAUGUCACCUGUGGUUUGACAAGUGCUACUCACGGCCAAUGUCAACAAAAUGUCUGAACUUCCAACUGCGACUUUGAAAAUCUCUGUCCAAAUGUUUGGUUGGAUGGUGCCUGAAGAGAAGGCCCAUUCAGUAAGGACAUUGUAGCAGAAAUGCGAAGUCACAGCUUGAAGCAGUGAUGGAGCACCUGGUGGGAAGGCAGGGCCAACCGAGGGGAGAUCAGGUGCAUGCAAUGUACCUGAGUGACCAGAGCGAGUGGAGCUGGGAUCCACCCCUUCCCAGACGUCAUUUAAGGGAUGGUGGUGGAGGCAAAGGCAUCUUGUUGGAGAUCCAUUCAUAGCUGAGGUGUUCUGAAGGCAUUUCUGCAUUCAUGCCAUGCAGCCCAACUUAGGCCAAUCCAGGCAGAAGAGAAUAGAGUGGAAGGUGGUUCAGAGGAGGUGAAGAACCCCCGUGCAGCUCAGACAGCAGAGCACUCACUCUGUGGUCCUCUUGGUGAGCUGUUGUAGAAUUUAAGGAGAUUUUCAGGAAAGCCUGACAAUCCCAGCCUGCCUGGAUGGUGAAACAUUUGAAAUCAAGGCUGCGUUUAACCUCCUAGCCUGGACUUUUUAGGAGGGCUUGAACAGCACGUCCUCUCCAGCAGGGAAGAGUCAUCUCUCUGAUCUCAGAUGCUUGUGUGGCUACAUGCAACUCUGAAGGUGGUGGGAAAAACGUUCCCAUCCAUCCCAGUUCAUCAGAGCAAUCCAACACAUGAUUACUUUCAAUCACAAACUUACACCUGGCUGAAGCUAAGCAGAAGCAAACAGUGAUGUGUGAGCAACCACAUAAACCCAGGCUUCGCAGGUGCUAUGGGCAUCAUGUCUGCUUUUCCUUUUCUUCCACUUUUUGCUCUCUACGAGGCUGUUACAGGAAGCAGCCCAUGGGUUUGUGACAGGACGCGGUUCAGGCGGACUCGUGUGGCUGAGAUGUGGGCAGGAGGGGAGCUCAGUGCCUCAGCUUAUCCUGGCUGGGCACCUCACCUGGGCUGGGAACCAGCUGCUGUCAUCCAGGGAGAUGCUGGGAGGCUCUGAGGGACGAUUCACCCUUCUGUCUGCAUGAGCAUGUCGGGGCAGAUGAGUCGGGUUGUGAGGAUGCUGCCUUUUUCCCAGGACAGUCGAGGAAGUCUAGACUGUGUGCUUGGGUUAGUCAGCGAACUUCUAGGCAGCCCUGGGAAGCAAACAGCAUUGCACCCCAAACACUUGUCAGGCCACGGAGGCAGCUGAGGUGAAACCACAUCUCACUCCCAACACUGCAGGAGCCCUUCUGGGCGAUGACUUAUUGUUGAGCUAUUUCCUGAGAUCCACAGUAGGAAGUGCCUGCUCCUGUUCCCCAGCUCUGCUCGCAGUGGCCUCCCACAUCAUCACAGAGGGCACUGGCAUGGAGCUGAAAGAGCAGAAGAACACAGCCAAGGCUUUGCCCCGCGUGCAGAACGCUGCGGAGCCAGGUUCCUGCUGAAGAUCGUAUUCAUUUUGGCGUUAAUCAGAAGGCAUUUGUAAUGUCCUGGCAACGAGGAGGAAGGCAAGACAUGGAGGAGGUGGAGGGGAGGGAAGGAAAUUCAUUUGUUGAGAUGAUGGAGUGACUCCUUCAAAGGAAAAAUUAAUAAUGAUUAAAACGAUGCCAGAGACUGUCCGUCAUCCCCACCAGAGGGGUCCAGCGCUCGGCACCUCUCCCUGCUGAUUACCAUCGAGCUUCCAAUUUUCAUAUAACCUUGAAACGCAAUCAUGUCAAUGUAUGCAAGAGGAUUCUCUUUUUCUGUUGGGCAGAGAGAUGUCAAUGGAUCUCUUUUCCUUCUUGCUUUCAUCCGUUACUUAGAAUCUGUGUAUAAGUCCCGUCCUUCAGCAUUUCCCUUUUAGAGGUCUGAAGGGAAGCUCUGCGCCCUCCCAGUGUGGUCUGUGGGCAGAGGUAAAUCUACUGAGCACGGCAAAGCAAAGACGAGGUUUCCCUUCCUUUUCUGUGAUGCCUGACUCAGUAUUUAGGAAGACAUUUUAUGGCACUCAAUUCCCAGGGCAGCAGCUGAUGACUUUAUUCUGCCUCCUCCUCCUCACUGCACCCAUGCUGCUCCUCCUGCAGCGCUUCCUUCGCUGGAGAUCCCGCUGUCUGGUUGUAUUGCAAUGCAGAUAAACCCUCUUUGUAUCAUUUCCAGGGGAGAGAAGCAGAACAGAAGACUCUUUUUGGAAAUCUGCUGCUUCUCUCUUGCACGCCGCCUUCCCCUGGCAGAGCACUGCACGCAGCAUCCUUGCAUUCCGGAUCUUGUCCCCAACAAGCUUUUGCUGACUGCAUAACCUUCACUAACCUGAAAUUCCUGAGUAGUCCCCAGAGCUCAAUGCAUCUUGGAAUAAAAUUUUGGUAAUGUCAUUUAAGGGUAUUCCUAAUCCAGAAUUAUUGAGGAGGCCUGGGUCAUGGGAAUUGAGUUUGACACUUGACAAAUUCUUGGCUUUGUGUAAAUGGACAGGCCGCAGAAAUAACUGCCUUUGGAUGUCACAUGAGGAGAAAUUAAUUCUUUAUUAACUUCCGCAAUGAUAAUCUAAUAAACUCAUUUGCUCUACUAGUUUCAGCACUUAAGGCGCUCAGUCGAUUGGAUGCAAAUAGAUUUUUUUCCUCCCCUCUGGAAAGGUGCCUCUGUAGCAGGAGAGGGGUGUUAGUGAACAGCCAGGCUGGGCGGCUGGGGCAGGGCGGGCAUGCUCAGCUCCUGCGCUGCACAGUGCUAGAGAGAUGGGCAGAGCAGAAA
Molecule: long non-coding RNA, 3174 nt
Organism: Numida meleagris (helmeted guineafowl)
Lineage: Eukaryota; Metazoa; Chordata; Aves; Galliformes; Numididae
Exons: 3
Source: RefSeq, a predicted model, not a curated record